This 1603-nucleotide ribosomal RNA is filed under the name Klebsiella pneumoniae. RNAcentral describes it as "bacterial LSU rRNA". It matches the Rfam family "Bacterial large subunit ribosomal RNA", at positions 1356 to 2925 of the family's 2925-position model. Lineage: Bacteria; Pseudomonadati; Pseudomonadota; Gammaproteobacteria; Enterobacterales; Enterobacteriaceae. The record is from RNAcentral.
UGUCCAACGUUAAUCGGGGCAGGGUGAGUCGACCCCUAAGGCGAGGCCGAAAGGCGUAGUCGAUGGGAAACAGGUUAAUAUUCCUGUACUUGGUGUUACUGCGAAGGGGGGGACGGAGAAGGCUAUGUUAGCCGGGCGACGGUUGUCCCGGUUUAAGCAUGUAGGCUGGUUGUCCAGGCAAAUCCGGAUAAUCAAGGCUGAGGUGUGAUGACGAGGUACUACGGUGCUGAAGUAACAAAUGCCCUGCUUCCAGGAAAAGCCUCUAAGCAUCAGGUAACAUCAAAUCGUACCCCAAACCGACACAGGUGGUCAGGUAGAGAAUACCAAGGCGCUUGAGAGAACUCGGGUGAAGGAACUAGGCAAAAUGGUGCCGUAACUUCGGGAGAAGGCACGCUGGUGUGUAGGUGAAGUCCCUGCGGAUGGAGCUGAGACCAGUCGAAGAUACCAGCUGGCUGCAACUGUUUAUUAAAAACACAGCACUGUGCAAACACGAAAGUGGACGUAUACGGUGUGACGCCUGCCCGGUGCCGGAAGGUUAAUUGAUGGGGUUAUCCGUAAGGAGAAGCUCUUGAUCGAAGCCCCGGUAAACGGCGGCCGUAACUAUAACGGUCCUAAGGUAGCGAAAUUCCUUGUCGGGUAAGUUCCGACCUGCACGAAUGGCGUAAUGAUGGCCAGGCUGUCUCCACCCGAGACUCAGUGAAAUUGAACUCGCUGUGAAGAUGCAGUGUACCCGCGGCAAGACGGAAAGACCCCGUGAACCUUUACUAUAGCUUGACACUGAACAUUGAGCCUUGAUGUGUAGGAUAGGUGGGAGGCUUUGAAGCGUGGACGCCAGUCUGCGUGGAGCCAACCUUGAAAUACCACCCUUUAAUGUUUGAUGUUCUAACGUUGGCCCCUUACCGGGGUUGCGGACAGUGUCUGGUGGGUAGUUUGACUGGGGCGGUCUCCUCCCAAAGCGUAACGGAGGAGCACGAAGGUUAGCUAAUCCUGGUCGGACAUCAGGAGGUUAGUGCAAUGGCAUAAGCUAGCUUGACUGCGAGCGUGACGGCGCGAGCAGGUGCGAAAGCAGGUCAUAGUGAUCCGGUGGUUCUGAAUGGAAGGGCCAUCGCUCAACGGAUAAAAGGUACUCCGGGGAUAACAGGCUGAUACCGCCCAAGAGUUCAUAUCGACGGCGGUGUUUGGCACCUCGAUGUCGGCUCAUCACAUCCUGGGGCUGAAGUAGGUCCCAAGGGUAUGGCUGUUCGCCAUUUAAAGUGGUACGCGAGCUGGGUUUAGAACGUCGUGAGACAGUUCGGUCCCUAUCUGCCGUGGGCGCUGGAGAAUUGAGGGGGGCUGCUCCUAGUACGAGAGGACCGGAGUGGACGCAUCACUGGUGUUCGGGUUGUCAUGCCAAUGGCACUGCCCGGUAGCUAAAUGCGGAAGAGAUAAGUGCUGAAAGCAUCUAAGCACGAAACUUGCCCCGAGAUGAGUUCUCCCUGAGACUUUAAGUCUCCUGAAGGAACGUUAAAGACGAUGACGUUGAUAGGCCGGGUGUGUAAGCGCAGCGAUGCGUUGAGCUAACCGGUACUAAUGAACCGUGAGGCUUAACCUUACAACGCCGAAG